This 403-nucleotide ribosomal RNA is filed under the name uncultured bacterium. Its description in RNAcentral is "partial 16S ribosomal RNA". It matches the Rfam family "Bacterial small subunit ribosomal RNA", at positions 29 to 526 of the family's 1533-position model. The record is from RNAcentral.
AUUGAACGCUGGCGGCAGGCCUAACACAUGCAAGUCGAGCGAGCGGCGGACGGGUGAGUAAUGUAUGGGGACUGCCCGAUAGAGGGGGAUAACUACUGGAAACGGUGGCCAAUAACGCAUACUAUCGGAUAACCCAUAGGGGCUUAGCUAGUAGGUGGGGUAAAGGCUCAUCUGGGCGACGAGCUCUAGCUGGUCUGAGCGGCUGAUCGGCCAAACUGGGACUAGGACACGGCCCAGACUCCGACGGAGGCGGCAGUGGGGAAUAUUGCACAAUGGGCGCAAGCCUGAUGCAGCCAUGCCGCGUGUAUGAAGAAGGCCUUGGGGUUGUAAAGUACUUUCAGCGGGGAGGCGUUACCCGCAGAAGAAGCACCGGCUAACGACGUGCCAGCAGCCGCGGUAAUUC